AAACGCUGGCGGCGUGCCUAACACAUGCAAGUCGAACGAAGCACUGUGGAAAGAGACUUCGGUCAAUUGAAACUUGACGUUAGUGGCGGACGGGUGAGUAACGCGUGAGCAACCUGCCUCUGAGUGUGGAAUAAUGUACUGAAAAGGACACUAAUACCGCAUGACAUAUACGGACCGCAUGAUCUGUAUAUCAAAGAUUUAUCGCUUAGAGAUGGGCUCGCGUCCGAUUAGCCGGUUGGUGGGGUAACGGCCCACCCAAAGCUACGAUCGGUAGCCGGACUGAGAGGUUGAACGGCCACAUUGGGACUGAGACACGGCCCAGACUCCUACGGGAGGCAGCAGUGGGGGAUAUUGCGCAAUGGGGGAAACCCUGAACCGCAGCAAUGCCGCGUGAAGGAUGAAGGUCUUCGGAUUGUAAACUUCUUUUGUCGGGGAUGAUAAUGACGGUACCCGACGAAUAAGCUCCGGCUAACUACGUGCCAGCCGCGGC
Molecule: ribosomal RNA, 490 nt
Filed under: uncultured bacterium
Lineage: Bacteria
Description: bacterial SSU rRNA
Rfam family: Bacterial small subunit ribosomal RNA
Source: RNAcentral